UGGGGAAUAUUGGACAAUGGGCGCAAGCCUGAUCCAGCCAUGCCGCGUGUGUGAAGAAGGCCUUUUGGUUGUAAAGCACUUUAAGCGAGGAGGAGGCUACUUGGAUUAAUACUCUAAGAUAGUGGACGUUACUCGCAGAAUAAGCACCGGCUAACUCUGUGCCAGCAGCCGCGGUAAUACAGAGGGUGCGAGCGUUAAUCGGAUUUACUGGGCGUAAAGCGUGCGUAGGCGGCUUCUUAAGUCGGAUGUGAAAUCCCUGGGCUUAACUUAGGAAUUGCAUUCGAUACUGGGAAGCUAGAGUAUGGGAGAGGAUGGUAGAAUUCCAGGUGUAGCGGUGAAAUGCGUAGAGAUCUGGAGGAAUACCGAUGGCGAAGGCAGCCAUCUGGCCUAAUACUGACGCUGAGGUACGAAAGCAUGGGGAGCAAACAGG
This 430-nucleotide ribosomal RNA is filed under the name bacterium. RNAcentral's name for it is "partial 16S ribosomal RNA". It matches the Rfam family "Bacterial small subunit ribosomal RNA", at positions 355 to 776 of the family's 1533-position model. The record is from RNAcentral.